UUUGAAAUAGAUUACUGAGCC
RNAcentral lists this non-coding RNA (21 nucleotides) under Caenorhabditis elegans. The record is from RNAcentral. Lineage: Eukaryota; Metazoa; Nematoda; Chromadorea; Rhabditida; Rhabditidae.